AGUGAACGCUGGCGGUAGGCCUAACACAUGCAAGUCGAACGGCAGCACAGGAGAGCUUGCUCUCUGGGUGGCGAGUGGCGGACGGGUGAGGAAUACAUCGGAAUCUACUUUGUCGUGGGGGAUAACGACGGGAAACUUACGCUAAUACCGCAUACGACCUACGGGUGAAAGCAGGGGACCUUCGGGCCUUGCGCGAUUGAAUGAGCAGAGGUCGGAUUAGCUAGUUGGCGGGGUAAAGGCCCACCAAGGCGACGAUCCGUAGCUGGUCUGAGAGGAUGAUCAGCCACACUGGAACUGAGACACGGUCCAGACUCCUACGGGAGGCAGCAGUGGGGAAUAUUGGACAAUGGGCGCAAGCCUGAUCCAGCCAUACCGCGUGGGUGAAGAAGGCCUUCGGGUUGUAAAGCCCUUUUGUUGGGAAAGAAAUCCAGCUGGCUAAUACCCGGUUGGGAUGACGGUACCCAAAGAAUAAGCACCGGCUAACUUCGUGCCAGCAGCCGCCGCGG
This 506-nucleotide ribosomal RNA is filed under the name uncultured bacterium. Its description in RNAcentral is "partial 16S ribosomal RNA". It matches the Rfam family "Bacterial small subunit ribosomal RNA", at positions 29 to 523 of the family's 1533-position model. The record is from RNAcentral.